AACGCACAUUGCGCCCUUUGGUAUUCCGAAGGGCAUGCCUGUUCGAGCGUCAUUAUAACCACUCAAGCCUGGCUUGGUAUUGGAGUUCGCUAUCUGCGUCUCCUAAAAUCAGUGGCGGUGCCUGUAGGCUCUACGCGUAGUAAUACUUCUCGCUAUAGGGUCCUGCGGGUUACUUGCCAACAACCCCUAAUUUUUUAAGGUUGACCUCGGAUCAGGUAGGGAUACCCGCUGAACUUAA
RNAcentral lists this unclassified non-coding RNA (238 nucleotides) under uncultured fungus. RNAcentral describes it as "sequence contains ITS2". The stretch from base 1 to 52 matches the Rfam family "5.8S ribosomal RNA", at positions 103 to 154 of the family's 154-position model. Lineage: Eukaryota; Fungi. The record is from RNAcentral.